UACGUAGGGUGCAAGCGUUGUCCGGAAUUAUUGGGCGUAAAGAGCUCGUAGGCGGUUUGUCGCGUCCGCUGUGAAAGCCCGGGGCUCAACCCCGGGUCGGCAGUGGGUACGGGCAGACUAGAGUGCAGUAGGGGAGACUGGAAUUCCUGGUGUAGCGGUGAAAUGCGCAGAUAUCAGGAGGAACACCGAUGGCGAAGGCAGGUCUCUGGGCUGUUACUGACGCUGAGGAGCGAAAGCAUGGGGAGCGAACAGG
This 253-nucleotide ribosomal RNA is filed under the name uncultured bacterium. RNAcentral's name for it is "partial 16S ribosomal RNA". It matches the Rfam family "Bacterial small subunit ribosomal RNA", at positions 524 to 776 of the family's 1533-position model. The record is from RNAcentral.